AUACGUAGGGUGCGAGCGUUAAUCGGAAUUACUGGGCGUAAAGGGUGCGUAGGCGGCUUGAUAAGUCGGAUGUGAAAGCCCCGGGCUUAACCUGGGAAUUGCAUUCGAUACUGUCAGGCUAGAGUAUGUCAGAGGUUGGCGGAAUUCCUGGUGUAGCGGUGAAAUGCGUAGAUAUCAGGAGGAACACCAGUGGCGAAGGCGGCUAACUGGGGCAAUACUGACGCUGAGGCACGAAAGCGUGGGGAGCAAACAGGAUUAGAUACCCUAGUAGUCC
Molecule: ribosomal RNA, 274 nt
Filed under: uncultured bacterium
Lineage: Bacteria
Description: partial 16S ribosomal RNA
Rfam family: Bacterial small subunit ribosomal RNA
Source: RNAcentral